CAGUCGCCGCGGUAAUACGGAGGGCGCGAGCGUUACCCGGAUUUACUGGGCGUAAAGGGCGUGUAGGCGGCCUGGGGCGUCCCAUGUGAAAGGCCACGGCUCAACCGUGGAGGAGCGUGGGAUACGCUCAGGCUAGAGGGUGGGAGAGGGUGGUAGAAUUCCCGGAGUAGCGGUGAAAUGCGCAGAUACCGGGAGGAACGCCGAUGGCGAAGGCAGCCACCUGGUCCACUUCUGACGCUGAGGCGCGAAAGCGUGGGGAGCAAACCGGAUUAGAUACCCGCGUAGUCCCUGUCUCUUAUAC
Molecule: ribosomal RNA, 301 nt
Filed under: uncultured bacterium
Lineage: Bacteria
Description: partial 16S ribosomal RNA
Rfam family: Bacterial small subunit ribosomal RNA
Source: RNAcentral